UGGGGAAUAUUGCACAAUGGGCGCAAGCCUGAUGCAGCCAUGCCGCGUGUGUGAAGAAGGCCUUCGGGUUGUAAAGCACUUUCAGCGAGGAGGAAGGGUAGUGUGUUAAUAGCACAUUGCAUUGUCGUUACUCGCAGAAGAAGCACCGGCUAACUCCGUGCCAGCAGCCGCGGUAAUACGGAGGGUGCAAGCGUUAAUCGGAAUUACUGGGCGUAAAGCGCACGCAGGCGGUUUGUUAAGUCAGAUGUGAAAUCCCCGCGCUUAACGUGGGAACUGCAUUUGAAACUGGCAAGCUAGAGUCUUGUAGAGGGGGGUAGAAUUCCAGGUGUAGCGGUGAAAUGCGUAGAGAUCUGGAGGAAUACCGGUGGCGAAGGCGGCCCCCUGGACAAAGACUGACGCUCAGGUGCGAAAGCGUGGGGAGCAAACA
This 427-nucleotide ribosomal RNA is filed under the name uncultured bacterium. RNAcentral describes it as "partial 16S ribosomal RNA". It matches the Rfam family "Bacterial small subunit ribosomal RNA", at positions 355 to 774 of the family's 1533-position model. The record is from RNAcentral.